Molecule: ribosomal RNA, 780 nt
Filed under: Halobacillus sp. JAS17
Lineage: Bacteria; Bacillati; Bacillota; Bacilli; Caryophanales; Bacillaceae
Description: bacterial SSU rRNA
Rfam family: Bacterial small subunit ribosomal RNA
Source: RNAcentral
CGAGCGGCGGACGGGUGAGUAACACGUGGGCAACCUGCCUGUAAGAUCGGGAUAACUCCCGGGAAACCGGGGCUAAUACCGGGUAAUACUUUCUUUCGCAUGAAGGAAAGUUGAAAGAUGGCUUCUCGCUAUCACUUACAGAUGGGCCCGCGGCGCAUUAGCUAGUUGGUGAGGUAACGGCUCACCAAGGCGACGAUGCGUAGCCGACCUGAGAGGGUGAUCGGCCACACUGGGACUGAGACACGGCCCAGACUCCUACGGGAGGCAGCAGUAGGGAAUCUUCCGCAAUGGACGAAAGUCUGACGGAGCAACGCCGCGUGAACGAUGAAGGUCUUCGGAUCGUAAAGUUCUGUUGUUAGGGAAGAACAAGUACCGUGCGAAUAGAGCGGUACCUUGACGGUACCUAACGAGGAAGCCCCGGCUAACUACGUGCCAGCAGCCGCGGUAAUACGUAGGGGGCAAGCGUUGUCCGGAAUUAUUGGGCGUAAAGCGCGCGCAGGCGGUUCCUUAAGUCUGAUGUGAAAGCCCACGGCUCAACCGUGGAGGGUCAUUGGAAACUGGGGAACUUGAGGACAGAAGAGGAGAGUGGAAUUCCACGUGUAGCGGUGAAAUGCGUAGAUAUGUGGAGGAACACCAGUGGCGAAGGCGACUCUCUGGUCUGUUUCUGACGCUGAGGUGCGAAAGCGUGGGUAGCAAACAGGAUUAGAUACCCUGGUAGUCCACGCCGUAACCCUUUGUUUUCUAGGUGUUAGGGGGCUUCCACCCCUUAGUGCUGAAGUU